This 440-nucleotide ribosomal RNA is filed under the name uncultured bacterium. Its description in RNAcentral is "partial 16S ribosomal RNA". It matches the Rfam family "Bacterial small subunit ribosomal RNA", at positions 338 to 795 of the family's 1533-position model. The record is from RNAcentral.
CCUACGGGUGGCAGCAGUAGGGAAUUUUGCGCAAUGGGCGAAAGCCUGACGCAGCAACGCCGCGUGAUCGAGACGCCCUUCGGGGUGUAAAGAUCUGUCAGAGGGGGCGAAACUUGACGGUACCCACAGAGGAAGCACCGGCUAACUCCGUGCCAGCAGCCGCGGGAAUACGGGGGGUGCAAGCGUUGUCCGGAAUCAUUGGGCGUAAAGGGGUCGUAGGCGGCACGUAAAGUCCGGUGUGAAAGGCAGAGGCUCAACUUCUGUACUGCAGUGGAUACUGGCGAGCUAGAAUGCGGUAGAGGUAAAGGGAAUUCCUGGUGUAGCGGUGAAAUGCUUAGAUAUCAGGAGGAACAUCGGUGGCGAAAGCGCUUUACUGGGCCGUAAUUGACGCUGAGGAACGAAAGCCAGGGUAGCAAAUGGGAUUAGAUACCCUUGUAGUC